UACGAAGGGGGCAAGCGUUGUUCGGAAUUACUGGGCGUAAAGGGCGCGUAGGCGGUCUAUUUAGUCAGGCGUGAAAUCCCCGGGCUCAACCUGGGAACUGCGUUUGAUACUGGUAGACUUGAGGAUGGGAGAGGAUAGUGGAAUUCCGAGUGUAGAGGUGAAAUUCGUAGAUAUUCGGAGGAACACCCGUGGCGAAGGCGGCUAUCUGGACCAUUACUGACGCUGAGGCGCGAAAGCGUGGGGAGCAAACAGG
Molecule: ribosomal RNA, 253 nt
Filed under: uncultured bacterium
Lineage: Bacteria
Description: partial 16S ribosomal RNA
Rfam family: Bacterial small subunit ribosomal RNA
Source: RNAcentral